GAUGAAGAACGCAGCGAAAUGCGAUAACUAAUGUGAAUUGCAGAAUUCCGUGAAUCAUCGAGUCUUUGAACGCACAUUGCGCCCCCUGGUAUUCCGGGGGGCAUGCCUGUCCGAGCGUCAUUGCUGCCCAUCAAGCACGGCUUGUGUGUUGGGUCCCGUCCCCCUCUCCCGGGGGACGGACCCGAAUGGCAGCGGCGGCACCGCGUCCGGUCCUCGAGCGUAUGGGGCUUUGUCACCCGCUCUUGUAGGCCCGGCCGGCGCUUGCCGACACCCAACCAUUUUUUUCAGGUUGACCUCGGAUCAGGUAGGGAUACCCGCUGAACUUAAGCAUAUCAAUAAGCGGAGGA
RNAcentral lists this unclassified non-coding RNA (347 nucleotides) under soil metagenome. Its description in RNAcentral is "partial contains 5.8S ribosomal RNA, internal transcribed spacer 2, and large subunit ribosomal RNA". The stretch from base 1 to 120 matches the Rfam family "5.8S ribosomal RNA", at positions 35 to 154 of the family's 154-position model. The record is from RNAcentral.